GUGGGGAAUCUUCCGCAAUGGACGAAAGUCUGACGGAGCGACGCCGCGUGAGUGAAGAAGGCCUUCGGGUCGUAAAGCUCUGUCAUCAGGGACGAACGGCCGGUGGAGUUGAAAGCCACCGGAUUGACGGUACCUGAGAAGGAAGCCACGGCUAACUACGUGCCAGCAGCCGCGGUAAUACGGAGGUGGCAAGCGUUGUCCGGAAUGAUUGGGCGUAAAGCGCGCGCAGGUGGGAUCUUAAGUCCAUUUUGAAAGUUCGGAGCUCAACUCCGUGAUGGGAUGGACACUGGGAUUCUUGAGUACCGGAGAGGAAAGCGGAAUUCCCCGUGUAGCGGUGAAAUGCGUAGAUAUGGGGAGGAACACCAGUGGCGAAGGCGGCUUUCUGGACGGUGUCUGACACUGAGGCGCGAAAGCUAGGGGAGCGAACGGGAUUAGAAACCCCGGUAGUCC
RNAcentral lists this ribosomal RNA (450 nucleotides) under uncultured bacterium. Its description in RNAcentral is "partial 16S ribosomal RNA". It matches the Rfam family "Bacterial small subunit ribosomal RNA", at positions 354 to 796 of the family's 1533-position model. The record is from RNAcentral.